GACACUGUGACGUAAUGAUUAGCGCGUUGGCCUCCGGAUUGAGUGGUCCAGGUUUGAGCCCUGACAGGGUCG
This is a non-coding RNA of Desmophyllum pertusum, 72 nucleotides long. The record is from the annotation of a GenBank genome assembly. Lineage: Eukaryota; Metazoa; Cnidaria; Anthozoa; Scleractinia; Caryophylliidae.